This 426-nucleotide ribosomal RNA is filed under the name uncultured bacterium. Its description in RNAcentral is "bacterial SSU rRNA". It matches the Rfam family "Bacterial small subunit ribosomal RNA", at positions 354 to 796 of the family's 1533-position model. The record is from RNAcentral.
GUGAGGAAUUUUCCGCAAUGGGCGAAAGCCUGACGGAGCAAUGCCGCGUGAAGGAUGAAGGCCUAUGGGUUGUAAACUUCUUUUCUCAGAAAAGAAUUAUGACGGUAUCUGAGGAAUAAGCAUCGGCUAACUCUGUGCCAGCAGCCGCGGUAAGACAGAGGAUGCAAGCGUUAUCCGGAAUGAUUGGGCGUAAAGCGUCUGUAGGUUGUUUAAAAAGUAUUCUGUCAAAGAUUGGGGCUUAACCCUAGAUAGGCAGAAUAAACUUUUAAGCUAGAGUUUGGUAGAGGCAGAGGGAAUUCCCGGUGGAGCGGUGAAAUGCGUAGAUAUCGGGAGGAACACCAAAGGCGAAGGCACUCUGCUGGGCCAAUACUAACACUGAGAGACGAAAGCGAGGGGAGCAAAUGGGAUUAGAAACCCCAGUAGUCC